CUUUGGGGCCUGGCAGUCGCUCCAAGUUCUUUGAUCCCAAGGCGCGGUUAAACGCCGCGCCCGUUUUGAUAUUUGGAGAGGAAAGUCCGGACACCACAGGGCAGGAUGCUGCGUGAGGCUCACGCCAAGCGCAGGCGCCGCGUCUCAAAGCGCGGUGACGGCUCAGUGUAACAGAGAAUAUACCGCCUUACGUUGCUCGGCGAAAGUCGGGCAGUGUGGGGUAAGGGUGAAAAGGUGGGGUAAGAGCCCACCGCGUCCGUCGCGAGGCGGAUGGCAGGACAAACCCCUUCCGGUGCAAGGCAAAAUAGGCGGCUGGGCGGCUCGUCCCAUAGCCGCGGGUAUGCCGCAUCCCUACGUCGGGCAAGCGCCUGACCGGGGACUCGUCCGCAAGGACGUUGAGAGAAAUGACUGCCGAAGCGCCGCAAGGCGUGGCACAGAAUCCGGCUUACCGGCCCCAAAGCUAA
This 464-nucleotide RNase P RNA is filed under the name Opitutaceae bacterium. Its description in RNAcentral is "RNase P RNA component class A". It matches the Rfam family "Bacterial RNase P class A". From Rfam's summary of the family: Ribonuclease P (RNase P) is a ubiquitous endoribonuclease, found in archaea, bacteria and eukarya as well as chloroplasts and mitochondria. The record is from RNAcentral. Lineage: Bacteria; Pseudomonadati; Verrucomicrobiota; Opitutia; Opitutales; Opitutaceae.